Regulatory RNA element from Sphingobium sp. TCM1, 69 nucleotides. It matches the Rfam family "terC RNA". NCBI's taxonomy places the organism in Bacteria, Pseudomonadati, Pseudomonadota, Alphaproteobacteria, Sphingomonadales, Sphingobiaceae. The record is from Rfam.
UCUGCGGGCCGGGCCCCUCUGGCGACAUGGAUUUCCCCCUUGAUCCAGUCGCGAUGUCGGACCGCAUCG